RNAcentral lists this long non-coding RNA (1790 nucleotides) under Hordeum vulgare. Its description in RNAcentral is "long non-coding RNA (HVUL_LNC015360)". Lineage: Eukaryota; Viridiplantae; Streptophyta; Magnoliopsida; Poales; Poaceae. The record is from RNAcentral.
GCGGUGGUAUAGAUCAGAAACAAAAGUAUUUUCUCCAAUGACGACCAUACAAUCAUCACGCAAUCGGUAACUCGGCGGUACAGGUCGAACAAGGGCAUCAAGCGUCUGCUAGAGGUGUACAUCAGAUCGGAAUCCAAUGAAAACAAAUCAACAUUGGUUUCCAGAUGUUAUGUCUAUCCUGAACUCUACAAGAAGAGCAGAUUGUGGGAUUCAAACCCAGGGCUAUCAACAGAAAGAUUCUUGCUCAAGAUAGUACGUGGCAUGUGCGAUUACCACAUGAAGGUCGAAGCAGGUCAAAGCAAUCUUUGAUUGGAAAAAAGUACUACUCCUAACUACCUGUUGACCACGGACUCGACGCUCGCCUGCAACAGCCACAACACCGGCCUCUUCAGCCUCACAGCCAAGCCUCUCCAUACGCAGCUUGACCUCGCCUCGAGUCGUCGUUGCACCUUAAGAACUGGUGAUGCCAGCCGUCGUCCGCGCCCUGAGCCGCCGCCGCUGUUUCUGCCUCUUUCAUGGACCGACAUUGCUGAGCCGUCCCGGUCCAGCCGUCGUCAUAAGGUCCGCCUCCACCACGGGCCGACGUCGCCGAGCGUCCCGGCCGAACCGCCAUUGCGAGCUCCGUCUCUGCUACGAACCAACACCGCCGAGCCGCCCCACCCGAGCCACCACUGCGAGCUCUGCCUCUGCAAUGGUUUCGCUUCGCCUUUACCAUGUCUGAGUGCUCUCAGCCGCCCUGACCGAGUCGCUGUUACGAGCUCCACCUCUGUCGCGGGUGGGCAACGCCACGACCCGAGUCACCUCCUUCUGGCUCAUCUCGCCCUCGCCCGUGAGUCGCCCCUAGCCGGCUCAGCCGCUGCUUCGCCAUCAGCGCCGUGCACUCGUCGCCUCGCGACGCUACUUGAGCCGCCCCCACGUGAGCAUGCUGCCCGCGCUGGUCCUGUCGCUGUCUUGCUCUAUCAUGCCCCAGUCGGCUCGGUCUCCGAGCCGCCCACCUUAGCUUCGCCUCAAGUCGCCUUGCCCUGCUCCCGCUGCUAUCCUCCACCAUAGCUGCUGCAUCCGCCUCACCGGCGUCCUCGCGUCAUAGCCUGCUUAUCGCCGCCUCCACUUCUCCCGCACAAGCUGCUAUCUGCCUCGCCGGCCUCCUCGCAUCGCAGAGCACCUACCACCGUCGUGACCCACCUCACUGCCACGCCUAGAGGUGCCGCCACGCCAUGACUCAGUCGCGCCCCGCCGGACCACCUCCUCGCUAAAGACCCGCUGCUCGCCGAGCCAGCUCGCUACAGUCUGCUCCGCCUCACUCGCCUCAGCACAGCGAGUCGCCGAGGGGGCCAACUAACAGCUACAUUUGCGCAUUGACAUCACGUCUCGAUGAGCCGCCGCACCGUCCACUAUCACCCGACAAAAUUAUCAGGACAAUUACUCAUUACAAAGACUAUGAGGGUGUUUGGAUCACUAGAGACUAGAGACUAGAGACUAGUAGUAGUCACCUUUAGUCAGUAAACCUCCAAACACCCCUGACUAAUGGGUGACUAAAACUAGUUUAGUCCCUAGUCACCCCACCCCCAACUAAAAGUGACUAAAGUCUCUUCUCCAAUUAAUGGCUCAUCCUCCCAUGCUGGCACGCCAAUGGAAGGGAGAUAAAUGAGAAUAAUUUAAUACAGAGACAUUUAAUGCUGACUAGUAGUAGUCACCUUCCAAACAGGGCCUGACUAAAAACUUCUAGUCUGACUACUACUAGUCACAUGACUAGAGAGUAUCCAAACACCCUCUAUGUUACGCGUACGAAG